ACGGGAGGCAGCAGUGGGGGAUACUGGACAAUGGGGGAAACCCUGAUCCAGCGACGCCGCGUGAGUGAAGAAGUAUUUCGGUAUGUAAAGCUCUAUCAGCAGGGAAGAAAAAUUCAAAAUUGACAGUACCUGACUAAGAAGCACCGGCUAAAUACGUGCCAGCAGCCGCGGUAAUACGUAUGGUGCAAGCGUUAUCCGGAUUUACUGGGUGUAAAGGGAGCGCAGGCGGUCCUGCAAGCCAGAGGUGAAAACCCGGGGCUCAACCCCGUGAUUGCCUUUGGAACUGUAGGACUUGAGUACUGGAGGGGCAGGCGGAAUUCCUGGUGUAGCGGUGAAAUGCGUAGAUAUCAGGAGGAACACCGGUGGCGAAGGCGGCCUGCUGGACAGAAACUGACGCUGAGGCUCGGAAGCGUGGGGAGCAAACAGGAUUAGAUACCCUGGUA
RNAcentral lists this ribosomal RNA (443 nucleotides) under uncultured Lachnospiraceae bacterium. RNAcentral describes it as "bacterial SSU rRNA". It matches the Rfam family "Bacterial small subunit ribosomal RNA", at positions 341 to 792 of the family's 1533-position model. The record is from RNAcentral. Lineage: Bacteria; Bacillati; Bacillota; Clostridia; Lachnospirales; Lachnospiraceae.